AGCGUACACGGUGGAUGCCCUGGCAGUCAGAGGCGAUGAAGGACGUGCUAAUCUGCGAUAAGCGUCGGUGAGGUGAUAUGAACCGUUAUAACCGGCGAUUUCCGAAUGGGGAAACCCAGUGUGUUUCGACACACUAUCAUUAACUGAAUCCAUAGGUUAAUGAGGCGAACCGGGGGAACUGAAACAUCUAAGUACCCCGAGGAAAAGAAAUCAACCGAGAUUCCCCCAGUAGCGGCGAGCGAACGGGGAGGAGCCCAGAGCCUGAAUCAGUGUGUGUGUUAGUGGAAGCGUCUGGAAAGGCGCGCGAUACAGGGUGACAGCCCCGUACACAAAAAUGCACAUAUUGUGAGCUCGAUGAGUAGGGCGGGACACGUGGUAUCCUGUCUGAAUAUGGGGGGACCAUCCUCCAAGGCUAAAUACUCCUGACUGACCGAUAGUGAACCAGUACCGUGAGGGAAAGGCGAAAAGAACCCCGGCGAGGGGAGUGAAAAAGAACCUGAAACCGUGUACGUACAAGCAGUGGGAGCCUCUUAAUGGGGUGACUGCGUACCUUUUGUAUAAUGGGUCAGCGACUUAUAUUCUGUAGCAAGGUUAACCGAAUAGGGGAGCCGAAGGGAAACCGAGUCUUAACUGGGCGUUAAGUUGCAGGGUAUAGACCCGAAACCCGGUGAUCUAGCCAUGGGCAGGUUGAAGGUUGGGUAACACUAACUGGAGGACCGAACCGACUAAUGUUGAAAAAUUAGCGGAUGACUUGUGGCUGGGGGUGAAAGGCCAAUCAAACCGGGAGAUAGCUGGUUCUCCCCGAAAGCUAUUUAGGUAGCGCCUCGUGAAUUCAUCUCCGGGGGUAGAGCACUGUUUCGGCAAGGGGGUCAUCCCGACUUACCAACCCGAUGCAAACUGCGAAUACCGGAGAAUGUUAUCACGGGAGACACACGGCGGGUGCUAACGUCCGUCGUGAAGAGGGAAACAACCCAGACCGCCAGCUAAGGUCCCAAAGUCAUGGUUAAGUGGGAAACGAUGUGGGAAGGCCCAGACAGCCAGGAUGUUGGCUUAGAAGCAGCCAUCAUUUAAAGAAAGCGUAAUAGCUCACUGGUCGAGUCGGCCUGCGCGGAAGAUGUAACGGGGCUAAACCAUGCACCGAAGCUGCGGCAGCGACACUAUGUGUUGUUGGGUAGGGGAGCGUUCUGUAAGCCUGUGAAGGUGGCCUGUGAGGGUUGCUGGAGGUAUCAGAAGUGCGAAUGCUGACAUAAGUAACGAUAAAGCGGGUGAAAAGCCCGCUCGCCGGAAGACCAAGGGUUCCUGUCCAACGUUAAUCGGGGCAGGGUGAGUCGACCCCUAAGGCGAGGCCGAAAGGCGUAGUCGAUGGGAAACAGGUUAAUAUUCCUGUACUUGGUGUUACUGCGAAGGGGGGACGGAGAAGGCUAUGUUGGCCGGGCGACGGUUGUCCCGGUUUAAGCGUGUAGGCUGGUUUUCCAGGCAAAUCCGGAAAACCAAGGCUGAGGCGUGAUGACGAGGCACUACGGUGCUGAAGCGACAAAUGCCCUGCUUCCAGGAAAAGCCUCUAAGCAUCAGGUAACAUCAAAUCGUACCCCAAACCGACACAGGUGGUCAGGUAGAGAAUACCAAGGCGCUUGAGAGAACUCGGGUGAAGGAACUAGGCAAAAUGGUGCCGUAACUUCGGGAGAAGGCACGCUGAUAUGUAGGUGAAGCGACUUGCUCGUGGAGCUGAAAUCAGUCGAAGAUACCAGCUGGCUGCAACUGUUUAUUAAAAACACAGCACUGUGCAAACACGAAAGUGGACGUAUACGGUGUGACGCCUGCCCGGUGCCGGAAGGUUAAUUGAUGGGGUCAGCGGCAACGCGAAGCUCUUGAUCGAAGCCCCGGUAAACGGCGGCCGUAACUAUAACGGUCCUAAGGUAGCGAAAUUCCUUGUCGGGUAAGUUCCGACCUGCACGAAUGGCGUAAUGAUGGCCAGGCUGUCUCCACCCGAGACUCAGUGAAAUUGAACUCGCUGUGAAGAUGCAGUGUACCCGCGGCAAGACGGAAAGACCCCGUGAACCUUUACUAUAGCUUGACACUGAACAUUGAGCCUUGAUGUGUAGGAUAGGUGGGAGGCUUUGAAGUGUGGACGCCAGUCUGCAUGGAGCCGGCCUUGAAAUACCACCCUUUAAUGUUUGAUGUUCUAACGUGGGCCCCUUACCGGGGUUGCGGACAGUGUCUGGUGGGUAGUUUGACUGGGGCGGUCUCCUCCUAAAGAGUAACGGAGGAGCACGAAGGUUGGCUAAUCCUGGUCGGACAUCAGGAGGUUAGUGCAAUGGCAUAAGCCAGCUUGACUGCGAGCGUGACGGCGCGAGCAGGUGCGAAAGCAGGUCAUAGUGAUCCGGUGGUUCUGAAUGGAAGGGCCAUCGCUCAACGGAUAAAAGGUACUCCGGGGAUAACAGGCUGAUACCGCCCAAGAGUUCAUAUCGACGGCGGUGUUUGGCACCUCGAUGUCGGCUCAUCACAUCCUGGGGCUGAAGUAGGUCCCAAGGGUAUGGCUGUUCGCCAUUUAAAGUGGUACGCGAGCUGGGUUUAGAACGUCGUGAGACAGUUCGGUCCCUAUCUGCCGUGGGCGCUGGAGAACUGAGGGGGGCUGCUCCUAGUACGAGAGGACCGGAGUGGACGCAUCACUGGUGUUCGGGUUGUCAUGCCAAUGGCACUGCCCGGUAGCUAAAUGCGGAAGAGAUAAGUGCUGAAAGCAUCUAAGCACGAAACUUGCCCCGAGAUGAGUUCUCCCUGACUCCUUGA
This 2787-nucleotide ribosomal RNA is filed under the name Escherichia coli. RNAcentral's name for it is "bacterial LSU rRNA". It matches the Rfam family "Bacterial large subunit ribosomal RNA". Lineage: Bacteria; Pseudomonadati; Pseudomonadota; Gammaproteobacteria; Enterobacterales; Enterobacteriaceae. The record is from RNAcentral.